CGUACGAAACGGCAAAACCAUUGAAAAAUGGUGACGCAAAACUAUAGGGGCUAAUGUUUUUCAAAAACGAAGCCAGCCAGUUACCGAA
Molecule: non-coding RNA, 88 nt
Filed under: Bacillus sp. (in: firmicutes)
Lineage: Bacteria; Bacillati; Bacillota; Bacilli; Caryophanales; Bacillaceae
Also listed under: 1 other name
Description: Bacillus sp. c-di-GMP sequence
Rfam family: c-di-GMP-I riboswitch aptamer
About the family: GEMM was predicted in a large-scale screen for bacterial structured RNA regulatory elements. Genes associated with GEMM are involved in a diverse array of functions, including chemotaxis regulation, signal transduction, secretion and chitin.
Source: RNAcentral